CUGUAAUCUCUUUUUUCCAUAGUUGCAACGCUAUUUGCUGUUGCUCAGUGUUGCUUUGAGCUGAUUGGUUAAGCUGACUGUCACUCAGGAAUCUGGCCAAUGACUAGCGAGCGCGCCGUUUUCCCGCUCAAAUUUGAAUGUACACUUUCAUAGCAGUGUCUGUCAGUGUGUCGCUGCUGCUCGGCUUCUGCAGUCUGCUGCGGUCUCUCCUCUAGUAAUGGCUUUUAUAUGUAUUAUCUGAGUGUUAAAUUCAUAUUUUGAGUGAGUUUGUGUUGUGGGAUGAUGAUUGAGAACGAAUAAACGCGAAUAUGGACACUUCUACCAGCAGCUAACAGACAAGCAAACUGCAAAAGAGAGGACCUGAAAGCAUGAUCCUUGGACUCCUUGGAGAAGAAUACUGUAUGCAAAACAGGAUUUUGGAUCAGCUGUGAAGAUUUUGUAUGGAGCUGUUUUGGAAAUGAAAAUCUUCUACCAUAUGAUCUUCAGAGGAACUAAUCCAGCCGAUUGCUGGCAAUUUGGAGGAGGACUGCUCUUUAUCUGCUGUGUCUGUCACGUCUGGCCAUGCAGGGCUCGCAAAAUUUCAAAAUCCCUG
Onychostoma macrolepis is the source of this 592-nucleotide long non-coding RNA. RefSeq lists it as uncharacterized. The transcript has 4 exons. Lineage: Eukaryota; Metazoa; Chordata; Actinopteri; Cypriniformes; Cyprinidae. The record is from RefSeq and is a predicted model, not a curated record.